This is a non-coding RNA of Balaenoptera acutorostrata (minke whale), 74 nucleotides long. NCBI's taxonomy places the organism in Eukaryota, Metazoa, Chordata, Mammalia, Artiodactyla, Balaenopteridae. The record is from the annotation of a RefSeq genome assembly.
UCCCUGGUGGUCCAGUGGUUAGGACUCUGAGCUUCCAAUGCCAGGGGACCCGGGUUCGAUGCCUGGUCAGGGAA